This 433-nucleotide ribosomal RNA is filed under the name uncultured bacterium. Its description in RNAcentral is "partial 16S ribosomal RNA". It matches the Rfam family "Bacterial small subunit ribosomal RNA", at positions 29 to 507 of the family's 1533-position model. The record is from RNAcentral.
AACGAACGCUGGCGGCAUGCCUAACACAUGCAAGUCGAACAAGACCUUCGGGUCUAGUGGCGCACGGGUGCGUAACGCGUGGGAACCUGCCCUUAGGUUCGGAAUAACUCCCCGAAAGGGGUGCUAAUACCGGAUAAUGUCUUCGGACCAAAGAUUUAUCGCCUUUGGAUGGGCCCGCGUUGGAUUAGCUAGUUGGUAGGGUAAAAGCCUACCAAGGCGACGAUCCAUAGCUGGUCUGAGAGGAUGAUCUGCCACACUGGGACUGAGACACGGCCCAGACUCCUACGGGAGGCAGCAGUGGGGAAUAUUGGACAAUGGGCGAAAGCCUGAUCCAGCAAUGCCGCGUGAGUGAUGAAGGCCUUAGGGUUGUAAAGCUCUUUUACCCGGGAUGAUAAUGACAGUACCGGGAGAAUAAGCUCCGGCUAACUCCGUG